Molecule: RNase P RNA, 244 nt
Filed under: Caenorhabditis remanei
Lineage: Eukaryota; Metazoa; Nematoda; Chromadorea; Rhabditida; Rhabditidae
Description: Nuclear RNase P
Rfam family: Nuclear RNase P
About the family: Ribonuclease P (RNase P) is a ubiquitous endoribonuclease, found in archaea, bacteria and eukarya as well as chloroplasts and mitochondria. Its best characterised activity is the generation of mature 5'-ends of tRNAs by cleaving the 5'-leader elements of precursor-tRNAs. Cellular RNase Ps are ribonucleoproteins.
Source: Rfam by way of RNAcentral
UUGGCCGGAAGAAGACGGUUGGGAGAAACUCAAAGGCCUAUUUAUGGCCUACAAAACUCCCGGGAAGGUCUGAGAGAAGGCCCUUUCGUGAGAUCUAGGAGAUCUUCUAGUGUCCUUAUAGAAGAGAGGCUGUAGAAGAAGGUGUUUCCCCCGAGUGGGUUUGGAAACGGCCUCGGCCAGCAAUCACCUAUACAAGCUAAGUGCGAUCGUCAUACCAACACAAUUCAGACUAGUCUUCGGCCAA